RNAcentral lists this ribosomal RNA (344 nucleotides) under uncultured eukaryote. RNAcentral describes it as "bacterial SSU rRNA". It matches the Rfam family "Eukaryotic small subunit ribosomal RNA", at positions 594 to 945 of the family's 1831-position model. The record is from RNAcentral.
AUAGCGUAUAUUAAAGUUGUUGCAGUUAAAAAGCUCGUAGUUUGAAAACUUGCCUUGGCUUACAAUCGGCUCUUCAUGGGCCACCGUUUGUUGAGAGCAAAUAUGGAUGACUGUUUUUGCCGACUUCAUUGCUUGGCUUAUAAGAGUCAUCAAAUAUCACUUUGAUUAAAUUAGAGUGCUUAAAGCAAGUGUGUUACUUGGAUAUAAAUGCAUGGAAUGAUGGAAUAUGUUGUUGUUCUAUUUGUUGGUUUUGGAACGAUGAAAUGAUUGAAAGGAACUGUUGGGGGCAUUCGUAUUGUUGUGAGAGAGGUGAAAUUCUUAGACCACAGCAAGACGAACUACUG